RNAcentral lists this ribosomal RNA (119 nucleotides) under Arabis alpina (gray rockcress). RNAcentral's name for it is "rRNA ENSRNAG00050207399". Lineage: Eukaryota; Viridiplantae; Streptophyta; Magnoliopsida; Brassicales; Brassicaceae. The record is from RNAcentral.
GGGGUGCAACACGAGGACUUCCCAGGAGGUCACCCAUCCUAGUACUACUCUCGCCCAAGCACGCUUAACUGCGGAGUUCUGAUGGGAUCCGGUGCAUUAGUGCUGGUAUGAUCGCACCC